UUUACACACUCUUGAUCAAGACAGUGUGAAGCAAAACCAAUUUAUGGUGCCAACAAAAGCUUUAUCAAAGGAGUUCAACCACAAUUCUCAAAAGUUUCACACACUCUUGAUCAAGACAGUGUGAAGCAAAACCAAUUUAAGGUGCCAACAAAAGCUUCAUCAAUGGAGGGCAACCACAAUUCUCAAAAGCUUCACACACUCUUGAUCAAGAGAGUGUGAAGCAAAACCAAUUUAUGGUGCCAACAAAAGCUUCAUCAAUGGAGGGCAACUACAAUUCUCAAAUCUUCGAAGCAAAUUCAAGACUGUUCGAAGCAAAUUCAAUUUAUAUGGUUCAUCCAAACCUUCGACUACCACAAGGUGUGGCUUGCAUCACAAUCUCUUGCUCAACGGUGUGGAAGCAAAAUUUGUAUAUGUUGUCUCUCCCACAUUUUCAAAUUUCUAGUUUUCCAAAAAUAAAAAAAUUGGGAAAUUCAACAAAUUUCUAGUUUUCCAAAAAAAAAAAAAUUGGGAAAUUCAACAAAGCUUCAUCAAUUGAGGACAACUACAAAUUCUCAAAAACUUCACACUAUCUUGAUCAAGAUAGUGUGAAGCAAAAUACUUCACCCACAAUAGCUUCACCUACAAAAGCUUCACCCAUAAAAGCUUCACCAACAAAAACUUCACCCACAAUAGUUUCACCUACAAAAGCUUCACACAUAAAAGCUUCACCAACAAAAGCUUCACCCACAAAAGCUUCACCCACCAUAAAAGCUUCACCCACAAAACAAAAGAUUCACCUACAAAACAAAAGCUUCACCCACCACUUCACCAAAAGCUUCACCCACAAAAGCUUCAUCCAUAAAAGCUUCACCGACAAAAGCUUCAACCACCACAAAAGCUUCACCCACAAAAAAUUCACCCACCAGAAAAGCUUCACCAACAAAAGCUUCACCCAUAAAAGGCUUCACUCACAAAAGCUUCACCCACCAUAAAAGCUUCACCCAUAAAAGCUUCACCCACCACAAAAGCUUCACCUACAAAAGCUUCACCCACAAAAGCUUCACCCAUAAAAGCUUCACCAACAAAAGCUUCACCCACCACAAAAGCUUCACCCACAAAAACUUCACCUACAAAGCUUCAACACAAAAGUUUCACCUACAAAAGCUUCACACUAUCUUGAUCAAGAUAGUGUGAAGCAAAAUCAAUUCAUGGUACCCAACAAAGCUUCAACCUCAAAGCUUCACCUACAAAGCUUCAACACCAGAGCUUCACCCAUAAAGCUUUAAAAAAAAAUUCAAAAAUUCAAAAAAAACAAUAAUUGCCUAGGCCUCAUCUUCUUUGGGCCUAACAACUUUCAUAACAAAUAUAUAUAUGAAGGAGGAGUUUUGGGCUACGACUUAGAAAGGAAAUGCUUCAUUCGUCAACUCCUUUAACCGGAGACUUGGGGGACUCCUACCAUAUGCUACUGCACCUUGAUACUCGGAAGUCUCACGACCACUCAGUGACUUGGAUUUUUCAAGUCUCCAACCGAGAAGUUUUCCUCACUCAGGAAAUUAAGGGAGCACUACCUCGACAUACAUGCUUCACUCACAAAGCUUCAACAUACAAGCUUCAACAAAAGAAAAAAUUCAAAGAACUUAGUGAAGAGGGCCUUGGUGUAUUUAACACAAUACGUUGAAAUGAAGCAAAGCUUGUUUAUUGAUAUCUCCGAUAAGUUACAAAUAUGUACAUAUACAUGAAUCAAAAUAAACAAACAAGAGGGAGCCUUCACAAAGGUUGCUCAGGAGAAGUCUCAGCAGUCUGCAGAGCCCCAGAAAGAGGAAGCAUCGAAGGGUGAUUAUUCAGAGCCUCAGUACUAGGUAGAGCCCUAGAAGGAAGAGGCACCGAAGGUUGAUCAUUUGGAGCUUCAUUACACGGUACAGCCCCAUAAGACAAAGGCAAUAAAUGCCUUUGGAACAAACCCACAAACCUCUAAUGAUCAAGUAAAAUCUAACCAUCAGAUUCCUGCAGCUGGUCGAGCUUCAUGUUCAUGUUUAUAGCAUAGUCAUGUGCGAGCCUGUGCAAUUGUUUAUUCUCAUGCUUGAGCCCUUUGAUCUCCUGUUUGAGACUUAUCACUUCAGCUGCCAAUGAUUCAACUUGGCGGGUUCGAGCAAAUAAGCAUUAGGCCAUAUUAGACACAAAACUUGCACACUGAACACUGAGAGCCAGAGAAUCCUUAAUAGCCAACUCAUCAGACCGUUUGGAAAGUAGUAUGUUAUCUUUGGGAGUGAAAAGGUUCCUGGCCACCACCGCAACUAUCAUAUCAUUCUAGAGUCCCCAAUGGUAAGAUGACCAGUAAGGGAUAAGAAGGAUAGGUGCCAUAUGUUGUCUUGAGAAGGCAUGGAUGCCUCUUCACCAAAGUUCAAGUCAAAACAAUAGUUAGAUGGGCCAGACAUUUUCAGAAAUGAUGAAGGAGAAAUGAGGUCCAAUAAAUCUCUGAAGUACAAAAAUAAGGGGAAAAUUCCUACAAACAAUAGCUCUCUUAAUGUACUUCUUGCACACAAUUGGUGCCCUUAUAAAAGAAAGGGCAACAUGGUCAUUCGUUCAAAAAUCGAAAAGGCACCACUCUUCGGAUUUCGAAGAUGCACCACUUUCCACAUACAACAUCAGCUCCUUGGGUACCACAGAUAACUUUGCCAAAGAUCUCUGACAAAGUUUAGACACAUAAAUUUUGAAGGUCCAGCUACCCUACUAUUACCCACAAAGGUAAAGGAACAGCACCACUGCUUGAUAACUGGAAAGUCCCUAUAUGUGUCAACCUCCGUGCUCCGUGGCAAGGCAGACUAGUAAAAAUGCCCAACCUUUACUCACAUUCGAGAAAACACUCCCAACAAGAUUAUUUGCUCAAAAAUCAAAGAGGCACCGCUCUCCGAAUCUCGAGAGCCAGACUCCCAACAUGAUUACUUUCUCAAAAAUCGAAGAGACACCACUCUCCAAAUCUCAAGAGCCAUACUCCCAACAGGAUUACUUUCUCAAAAAUCAAAGAGACACCACUCUCCGAAUCUCAAGAGCCUGACUCCCAACAGGAUUGCUUUCUCAAAAAUCGAAAAGGCACCGUUCUCUGAAUCUCAAUAGCCAUAUCCCCGACAGGAUUGCUUGUUCGAAAACCAAAGAGGCACCGCUCUCCGAACUUUGAGAGCCAGAUUUCCUUGGAUAAAGUUUGUCUGCAAUCUUCACACGCAACAUCAGCUUUCCAGAUACCACAGACAACUUUUUCAAAGUGCUCUAACAAAGUUAAAAUACGUGAAGCUUGUAGUUCCCACUACGUUACUAUGACCAAGAAGGGUAAAGGAAUAGCAUUACUACUUGUUGUUAGGGAGAGACUCCUAUAUAUGUCAACCUCCAUCCUCCACGGACAGGCAUACCUGCAAAAAUGCUCAACCCUUCCUCAUAUCUGAGAGGGCAUUCCCAACGAAGCCUCUCGAAAUACUCAGCUUUCUUCCCCCCCCCCCAAUAAUACCUAUGCAAACUAGCCACACCAGAGCAAGAGUAUCUCAUAUCAUCAGGGUCAAAAGCAAGAGUAUCCCAUAUCAUGUUUUUUCCCUGUCUUUUCCUUUGCCCUUGUUCUUAUCUACAAGACAAGGAAAAAGAGAGUAAUCAGUCAGCACUUGGAAUCAAGCUUCCAGUCAGGAACUGACUGCCUGGAACCCCUUGCCUGAUUACUUACCUAGCAUUGCUCUCGAGUACUCAUCUUCAACAUCUUAUGCUUCCAGAGAAGAUACCACAUCUGCCUGAGGAACAGAUAGGGCAAGUGAGAAGGAUACAAGGAAGCAUGUGGAGACAAGCGUAACAGAACACGUGCCGAUACAUCCACUACUUUGUCAACAACAAAAGUAUCACAUAUCAUCAGGGUCGAACAUAUUCUAGAUUUGAUGGACUUGUUUUGACCCUCAAAUUCUUGAGUCGACCUUAUAUUCUGGAGGAAACCAGAAAACCCUCCAGCCCAGUUCAAGAAUAAGCCUGUGGAAAGUUACUUCUUCAAAAGCAAAAGUAUCUCAUAUCAUCUCUUCUCCAUUUGCUUCUCCUUAUCCUUGUUGCUGUUUAAGACACAAGGAAAUGGAGAACAAUCAACCAAAAGCCGAAGUCGAACCUCCGAUCCAGGUUGCUUGCUUAGAAGUCUGAUUUAUUACCUUGUCUGUUACCUCCUUCGGCAAAUCUCCUAGCUCGACGACUUAGGGGACUCCUACUAUGGGGUUUGUAUCGCACUUGACCAACCCCAAAACUACAAGUAAGCUUCAAGUAAAAUUGAUACAUUACCUUGUGCAUCUUCAUCGGUUAAAGAUAUCACCCCUGGAUGGAAGAAAAGUACUUCCAGAGAAGAUGCCACAUUUACAUAUGAGACAGAUAAGGCAAGUGAAAAUGAUACCACACUUCGGUACUUAGAAGUUUCGUGAUUACUCAAUGGCUUGUAUCUUGCAAGUCUCCAAUCGAGGAGCUUCCCUUACUCGAGAACUUAGGGGAGCAUUGUUUGUACCAUACUUGACCAAUCCUGAAACUACUGAGCACCGGUCAACGUUAUACCAUCAAGGACACAAAAGAGUUUCCCUCAAACCAAGAGGCCAAUCACAGCGCGACACAUGUCGACAUCAGAAGCCAAUCAUAGCGCGACAUGUGUCAACAUCAGAAGCCAAUCACAGUACGACACAAUAUUUCCGAAUGUCAUUUAUACUAAAUCAUUCACUAGUACUCACUAAAGGAAAGCUUGAACCUAUAUACUUGUGUAAACCCUUCACAAUUAAUGAGAACUCCUCUACUCCGUGGACGUAGCCAAUCUGGGUGAACCACGUACAUCUUGUGUUUGCUUCCCUGUCCCUAUCCAUUUACAUACUUAUCCAUACUAGUGACCGGAGCAAUCUAGUGAAGGUCACAAACUUCACACUUUCUGUUGUACCAAAGUCUUUACUAAUUUUGUGCAUCAACAUAAUGCGUUCACAAUGCACAUGCAAUUCACAUAAGUGCCUUAUGAUGCAUAAAACGGAUGAAAUAUUUCCAUAUCACUGCAAUCAUAUUUCACAUCAUCAAACACGAGAAUAUAUAUAAAUAUAUAUAUUCCCUCUCUUACCAGUGCGAGAUUCAUAACACAUAUAUAUCUCACUUAAUGCCACAUUAAUCAUAGAAAUUAUGAAUAAUGCAAAAUCAAUGCAAAUCAUAAUUCACAAAGCAUAUUGUUCACAAAAUUUAUGAAAUAAUAAUGCAUUCACAUUGCAUAUCAUAUUUCACAGCAAUAAGAAUUCAAGAAUAUAACAAAUUAGGAAGUAGGAUCAUUCGCUCUGAUACCAAUUUUGUAACGACCCGAAAUUUCUAAUUCGGAAGCUAAUUACUAAGAUAGGCCCCAAAUUCAUUUUCUUAGCAAAUUUCACUAAAAGAUUAAUCUCAAGUAUUUUAUUAUGGCUGCAUCUAACUUUCUCGUUAGACUACCUACAUACCCUGCUAAGGGAUCAAGCCAUUCGUAGUUCACAUUACGCUUCUAGAACAACACACUAAAAUUUCAUUUUGAUCCAACGGUUGGAUCUGUCGACGUUUUAAUUUACUAACUUGCAAAUCUAAUUCGAAAAGAUCCGUACUUCCGAUUCCCGAUCCGUAAGUUCCUAAGGUCCUCAAAUAUUAUGUACUAUAAUGUAUCAAAAUUUGGUGGCAAUCCAACGGUUGAAUGGUCAUCAAUUACGAAAAAUUGUACAGUGGUACAAUUAUCCGAAAUUUUUGAAUAUUCGAAUCAUCGCAUCAAAUUUCAACGAAUGGACUUUGGAUAUGGGCUCAGGACAUCAAGAAUGUCCUGCUGUCCAAAAUCCAUGUAAAUAGAUUCUCCCCCAUGCGCCGCCACAUGAGCUACCGCGCAUGGUGGUUUCCGGUGACCGGAAACCCACUUUUUCUUCUAACUCCAAAUUCUACCAAAAUUUACAAGAAGAUAUAGCUCAACAAGAGGAACAAGUUUUAUACCUGCAACAAAGUCCAAAAGUGGACGGUAGAGGGUCAAUUCCGCUAAUAAAACUGGCAGGUGACUAAAGCUUCCCGGUGUCAAUUUAUCGCCCACGGUGGUCCAACAGGAUCAAACCUGGUCGGGAUAUACUCCUAGGAUGAUGGGCUAAAAAACCCAAGUGGUGGCAUCGGCCAUCGCUUUGCCGAUUCACCGAAAAAAUGAAAAGGAUGGCCGGAGCACCAUUGGUUUUCAUCGAUUUUUAUGGCUUCACACCGCCACAUAGGGUGGCUAAUCAAGGUGGUUCUUUGGUUGGAUUUUGUAGAGGGGAGUGAGAACUUCAACAUGGUGGUGGUGGCGUCGAAAAAUUCCACUUGAGUUAGCUGGAAUCGACCUCGGAAAAUGGGAGGUCAAAUGGGGGUUUUUCUGGGUUAUUUGGGCCUCAUCACUAGGUUUCUUGAAGUGGAAACCUACUAAUUUAGGCUAACUAAUUAUAGACUCCCUACUAACAGUAAGUCCACAUGUCUAAAAAGUCUCACUACUUCUGAGGCUCGUAACUUCUCCGUUCUAACUCGGAAUUAGGAUCUGUUUGCACCUACGCGCUCGUAGGGUUGUCCUCUAUUCAAAUAUAUUUAUAAAUACAAUAAAUUAUAUGAGGAUAAAAUAUGUGCUCAUCAAAAUUACGUUUAGUCAACGAGAGACAUUUUCGUCUUUUCACUUUCCGAUAAAAAAAAUCCAUAUAAUCAUAUAUUUUAAAUUUUUCAGGGUAUUACAUUAUCUGCCCCUGAAACCUAGGUUGCAGCGAUUGUAUAUGUCAACGCAUACUGCCACGGACAUGAGAUGGCAUAAGAAAAAGUGGGUUGAUGACGAUGUCCUAAGGCAUCCUACAGAUGGAGAGGCAUGGAAAGAGUUAGAUUGAAUGUUCCCUGAUUUUGUUAUUGAUUCUCAUAACGUUAGAUUGGGACUUGCCACUAACAAAUUUAAUUAUUGUCGUAUAAUUUUCCGUCAUGGAAAUGUAUGAAAAAAUAAUACAUGAUGAUGACUCUAUUGAUAACUAAGGAUCCUGGUAAGUUAGAUUGAAUGUUCCCUGAUUUUGUUAUUGAUUCUCAUAACGUUAGAUUGGGACUUGCCACUAACAAAUUUAAUUAUUGUCGUAUAAUUUUCCGUCAUGGAAAUGUAUGAAAAAAUAAUACAUGAUGAUGACUCUAUUGAUAACUAAGGAUCCUGGUAAGUUAAUCGAUGUAUAAUUACUGUUGUUGGUGGAUGAGCUAAAAGAUUUAUGGACACAUUAUCAUAUCGUUUUCUUUUGGCAGGCUUCUCAGAAACUUGAAGAAAAGUGUACGAAACCCCGAAGGAUCCAUUAUACAAGCUUGGGUGGCAUAUGAGGCGCUUACAUUUUGUGGAAUGUAUUUAAACGAUGUUGAGACAACUUUCAAUCAUCCUCCUUUCAAUUUUUGCCUAAAUCGCUCGACCAUUCGGAGAUCCGAUUUGUGGCGAGUCAUUUUCCAAGAAUGACAUGGAGGUAGCACAUUGGUUCGUACUCAACAAUUGUGACGAGACACUGUCAUACCUAGACGAGCAUGAAAAUAUGAUGAAGCAGGCACAUUCUUCACAUAUGUAUACCAAGAAACACUGUGAAUUGUUUCCGCAGUGGUUUGUCGAAUAUGUAAGGUUGAAGUGUUUUGUAUUGGACAUAUAUAUUGUACCAAUUAAAUUUGCUCGAACUAACAAAUUUAAAUGUUUGUCCAAUAUUAGGUGAAUCAACUGAAAGCAUCGAAUUCCCCCGUGUACAGUGAAGAGUUAUAUAACUUGGCAUUCGGACUGAUUUACGUUGAAUUGUACUCAGGUGCACGGGAUGACAAGUUGUGUACGCAAAACAACAGUCUUCAUGUCCCCAGGGGAGGUGAAAGUACAUACAUUGAAUUCUAUGUCAAACUAAUAAGUGUCGUGUACCAAGUGAUCCUAUUUAAGUGUCGAUGGUUUGAUACAAACCCAAAUAGGCAUGGAUGUGUGAAAAUAGAUCAUAGAUUACUAUUAGUGAACACUAUCAAAACUUGGUAUGAUGACGACCCUUACAUCUUAGCAACCAUGGCAAAACAAAUUGUGUAUCUAGAUGACCCUAAAGCCGGGAGGGGUUAGAAAGUUAUUCAGAAGAUGGAUCAUAGGAACGUGUAUGCUAUACCAGAACAAGACCGUACCAACGACAACAUCGACAAUGUUACUGACCAAUGUCUUGAAUCUUCAAUGGAAAGUGGUGCGGAAACACUCCAAGAUACUAAUCUUAUCCAAGAACCAUUUUAGAUAGAAGGAGUAUCUUCAAUCGAAAUACCGAUUCAGUCGAUCACAAUUGACCUCGGUAAUAUUCCACGAUACGAUGGUCCAGUGUGCACAAACGACGAUGGUGAUGUACCUAUCGAUGAUGAGGAAUGGGACACUGAAAAUGAUGAUAGUGACGAAAGUGAAAGUUAUUAUAGUUCGGAUGAAGAUUAAGGCAAUUUAUUUGUAACUUUUUUUGUAAAACACAUAAAAUGGUUAAUGCAUUAUAUAGAGUGAGGAAAAAAAAUGGUAUGAAUGAUUCCCAUUUUAUAUCUGAAUUACUUUGUAAAAAAAUUUGUUUUAUUUGUAUUUCAUAAUAAAUUGUAAACAAAACAAAACAAAAAAAAAAACCAAUUUAAAACAUAAUUGGGCGAUGCAUAAAAAAUUUCGGUCAGGCAAGCAUUUUAAUUUUACACGGGAUUAUUGAAUUUUCAGACACUUGAGUGACGAAUACAUAUGUUUCAUCACGCAAAGUAUAUUUGCGCAAUGAAAUAUAUGUAUUCGUCACGCAAGUGUCUGAAAAUUCAAUUAAGGCGCUUUUUUUUCAUGGAAAUUUUAAAAAAAAACUUGCACGACGAUUGUUUAGCCUUGUGAGACAAAGCCUCCGUCAUGCAAGAUUCUACAUUAUUAACCCCAUUUGUCUUGUCCCUCCCUCACUUCCCUCUUCUUCCUUUUUUCCCCGCGCAAUACGCUAUCUUUCCUUCCUCUCUAUCUCUGCCCGUCUCUCCUUCACUCACCUCGUCUCUCCGUCCCUCUCUUAGGCCGUCGCCGCUUCUUCUCCAAGAGGUAAUUUCCUCUUCAGUUUUUAGUUUCAAUUUUGUUUAUUGAAUGGGGGUUAGAAUUAGGGUUUUUAUUUUUUCAAAUUGGGGGCGGUGGGGUUAGAUUUAGGGUUCGUAAAUUGGAGGUUACAUUUAGGUUCUUAAAUUAGAGUUUUUAGGGUUCUUAAUUGGGGUUAGAUUUAGGUCUUAAAUUAGGGGAACGAUUUUGGGUAGUGAGGUUAGAUUAGGUUUUCUUAAAUUAGGGGUUAGAUUUAGGGUGCUUCAUUGGGGGUUAGAUUAGAGUUCUUAGAUUAGGGGUUUUUUAAUUUCAAGUACAGGGUUCGAAUUAGGGGUUUUUUUUAGUUUAAGUACAGGGUUCUUAAAUUAGGGAUUUGUUAAUGUUUUCCUGUGUUCUAUGCAUCCACAACAUUGCACUUACACUUUUCGCUGUCCAACAACCCUUUUAUUUAUUUAUCUUUAUAUUGUAUAAUUGACCUUUUUAUUUCUCUUUUAUUACGAUUAGAGGAAAUAUAUUUAUGUUUGUGGUUUUUAUGUUGGAAUUUAAGAUAUUGUAGGAUGUGUUCUCUAUUGUAGGUUUGAAAGAAAAAAAUUGAAUUACACUGUACAUUUGUGGAAUAAGUUUUUAGAUAUUUGCAUUGUUGACUGCCAUGAUUUCUUGAUAUAUAAUGGGGUAUUAGCCUUUGUUGUUGCCUUAUUAAUAUGAUAGACUCGGUUGUGUUGCUUGUUGAAUUCGGCCUCCCAAUAGUCAUGAAUGGAUUCUCUCCUGGGUCUGGCUAUACUUAAUUCACCAAGAAGGACAAAAAAUGGGAAAUUUAUAUGUAAAAUGUCUUUUCAGCCAAAUAGGGCAAUGUCAUGGUGAUUAGGUAUAACAAACCAAUAGGAUCACAUUAAAUCAAAUGAAAUCUGUUUGUGAACUCCAUUAUUAUUAUUAUUAUUAUUCAAAGAUAUGGGAACCCACAUGAUAUAAGCAAAUCUGUAUUUAACUAGUACAUAAUGAUAUGCUAUCUCUCACAUUGUUAGUUUGUUGUGAGGUCUUUAUUUAAACAUAAGGUAGUAAGGAUAUCCAAGGCACCUCACAUUUGUUUGGUUUUAGGUAGUAAACUUGUAAGGUUGUCCUUUAUGCUAGUUUCUUCUUAUAAGUUAUAAUUGUUAGGUCUAUAUCCUAUCUGAAUUGAUUAGUUUGUGUAUAGUAUAUUAGUUUUAAGUUUUGUUUCUGCCAAACUUGAAUUGGGUUUAAAAUUUGGGUUUUUAAAUUUCGUUUUAAAUUUAAGUUGAAAUUAUUAGCAUGUGUAUGGUAAGUUAAAUCUUUGUGUACGAAACAAAUUGAUUUUCAAUUUUGUAGAUGUCACACCUCAUUAGAACCCAAAGGGCGAUGACUUCUACACCUAGUCUGACAGCUACACCUAGUCCGACGACUACACCUACUAUUGCCACCACUGCUCCGGCAGAGAUGGACCAUAGGCCGGCCAAUCCGGUUGACCCAGUUGGUCCUCCAGUCCCACAGGCGCAGGCAUCGUCGACUUCUUCAGUGGUGUUGCCUGUUAGCGCUCGAUUUACUCACCGGUACCCCCGCACUACGAACCAGACGUCACCAUUGGGAUCCAUAAUCGAUGCCUCGGGUACACGGCCAAGUAUACAAUCCUAAUUCACUCCCUCAUUCCCAUGUUAAUUGAGUUUUGUUAUUUUAGGUUCAAUUUGUUAAGUUAUGUCAUGUAUGAAUUAAAAAGUUUGCAUUGUUUUCUCUUUUUUUGUUCGCAAUUUCUUCGCUUUCAUAAAUGGGUUUUGUCAUGAAAUAGAAAUUGUGUGUAUUCCGUAAUUCAUGUUUGUUAAUUUUUAUGUUUUUGCAAUUUUUUUGUUAAUUUAUGUGUCAUUUCUUAGUUACUGAAAUGGGUUUCUCACAUAAUUGAAAAGGUGGUGCUGUGGAAGAGAUUUGAUGCUGAGGAAAUGGCCAAAAUGUUUAACUGGGAAAUGAAAACCUUGGUAAUUAUCAUGAAGCUAAGUUUUUACAGUCGUAGAAGUUUCGGUUGUGACUGUUAAAGUCUUAAAAAUGUCAACGUGGAUGAGGUUAUAUGGAAUUGUUAGAGUCUUAAAAAUGUCAAUGUCGAGAGCCUGUGUAUACAAGCUCAAAAUUGGCCGUCUUAGGUGGCAGUUAUCGCCAUUUUUAGAAGUUUGUUGUGGUAUUUGAAAACGCUCAAAUUGGAAAUAUGUUCUAAUUAGGAGAAAGAAAAUAGUGGCCUCAAACAAAGAAGUAGCUGUGAUGCUCAAUAAGUAACUUUCAGGAGAAAUAAAGGAAGAAAAUGUAUACGAAUGUUAACUGAGUUUUGUUAUUUUAGGUUCAAUUUGUUAGUUAUGUCAUGUAAGGAUUAAAAACUUGUCAUUGUUCGAACCUUUUAUUAAACUGUUGUGAUCACUGUGUUGGAUAUGUAUAUUGUUUAUGUUAUUUUCAGGGUUUUGGGAAAUGUUUUAAUUAUAGGUGAGGUUAUGCUGAAAUUUCAGUAGGAUUUGUUAUUAGUUUUGGGUUAAUGAUUUUUUUUUUCAUCUCUUUGCAGCGAAGAAAAACACCUGGGGACCUUGUCGGCAAUUGAAGACGGCAAAGGUCACCUGGGUGACCAACGGUCGUAUCCCAAUCGAAUACGAUGAGCGACAUCGAGCAACACCAAUAGCAGAGUAACAUAGUGCAUUGGCCCACAACAUUGUGCAUGUCGUGCGGACCUUUGCCCUAUGCGGUGGAAGUCUUGGAAGGCGAUGCCGGAGGAGACGAAGAACACGGUGCGCAACCAAUUGUCCAUAAGUAGCAUCGCCUUUUUAAUACUUUUCAUGUAAAAGUUAUAUAUUUAUAUUUAUUACUGUCUUUUAUUACUAAUACUUUCAAAAUAUUUGUUAUAUUGCAAACAAACUACAAUUUGGAGGACAUGGACGAGGACAUGUUCGUGUACCUCAAUCGACUCUUCUCUGAACGCUACAAGCAAUGGAAAAGUGACAUGUUCCAAUGUUUCCAUCAGUUUUGAUGAUCCAUAGGUUGCUCUCGAUGAGGGUUAUCCGAAGGAGUUAGAGGAUCGACAACAUAGUUAGGUUUGGUUUUGCGGUCAUUUUCAAGAGCCGGGUGUGUUUUUAAUUACAACUUCUUUCAUUUUACUUUUUUGAAUUUUUACUAAUGUUUAUUAUUAUUAUUUUUAUUUUCUUUAAGUAUUACAACUCAUAUGUUUAGUUUUUUGUAUAACAGAAGAAGACGAAGGCGAACAAUAUCAAUCAGGAGAAGAAGACUUUUCUCCACCAUUUGGGUUCAAGGCCUUUCUCCUAUAGGAUGGAGGCGUGAUGGAAGGUAUAUAUUACAACUUUCAUUUCUAAUUUUAAAAUGUCGCUAAUAAUUUUUUUUUUCUUACUAACAUUUUCCUUAUCUUUUUCAAUUUCAGGAGGGUUCAAAAUUUUCAGAGAUCGACGUCUUUGCUGACGUUUAUGUUCGGCCUGGGGAUGAGUUGAUCGAGUCCUUUCAUGUAAUUAAUUCCUUAUGCAUUCAACAUUUAUACUAAUUAUUUCAAAUUGUUUUCUAUUAAUAAUCCAUGUUUUUUUUCACAGGUAACUAUGGUGGAGAAAAGUCAGUCGGUGCUUCAGGAGUCCGUCUCCUAGCUUCCCUCAGAUCGCCGAUCGAGUCUGUGGAUCCCCUUGAGGAUGCAGGGUUUCACAUCGUGACAGAGACCUUGGACCAAACUUUUGGUCAGAGGCCAGAGACUUAUUGUCAUGGGAUGGGAAAUACCAGGCAACGAGAGAUUAAAGCAUCAUCAUCCUCGCAGUCAAAGGCCCAAGUUACGGCUUUGACGCAGAAAGUCGCUGGCUUGAAGAGUGAGCUGGCAUCGUACAAGUCUCAAAUGUCGAUGCUUGUACAAGCCCUCAGUUCCUCUAGAAUACAUCUCCCCGGUUUUUCUGCACCAUCAUAGCCCUUCCACACCAAGCAAGCUCAGCAAUCAGGCCCAUUGACCUCCAACCCCAUCCCCAACCCGCAGCAAGAUUACCAAGCACCUUCGAACAACAUGCCUAUAGAUUUUUCCGCUUUUUUUCAUAGUUUUGUUCCUGCUUUCUUUUAAAACUUUAUAUUUGUACGUACAUUUUUAUUUAUAUUAUAAAUAAAUAAAAAAUUAUUCAUUAAUUUGCUUUUUUUUUUUUUCAUUAGUAUAAAAUCUUUUUUUUUUUUGUUAAUUUUCCUUUUAUUCUUUUUUUUUAAUAAAAAUUACACUUGCGUGACGACGACCAGUCGUCGCACAUUACCACUCGCCUCUUACAUUUUUCGUCGCACAGACUUUUCGAGACAAACUAGUCACAAAGCGCACUUGUACCCUUUUAUAACGUACUACGAAAACCUUCAUCCGUAUAACUUUAGCGCGACGAGUAGUAAAGCGUCGCGCAAUUUUUUUUAUGCGCGACAAAUUUGAAAUUGUUCAUCACGCAAUGUCAUUUUUCACAACCUUUGCGGGACAAAAUAUGUGCGAUGAUUUUUUGGUCGCUAUAGGUUUUGUGCGACCUAAUAAUGAUUUGCUCAACAAAAUCUUCCUUGUCGCGCAAACUGUUUAAUUUAGUAGUGGAAGUUAAGAAACAUCACAAGGUUGAGAGAAAAAAAAAGUGAGUCAAACCUGUAUGCUGAUAUGCAAAUUAAUUUAGUGAUAGCCAAGAAAGCAAGCACAGUCUGAAAACAAAGUAGCAUGAGCUACCAACGGAAGGGAAUUAUGACAUACCAAAGUUGGUGAAGACAAGCCCAUCUUAGCAAAAUUGUCCGCAACAACAUUUCCUUCGCGAUAUAUGUGAGAGACGUAGAAAGUCAUAUUCCGAAUGCGGUCCAAAUAAAUAGACCAUUGCGUACAAAGAGGCCAAGGAGGAUCAAAAUUAGUCGAUUGGAAAGCAGAAAUAACAAUAGAAUAAUCACUUUCCAACCAAAGACAAUGCCAACCCCGCUAAUAUACAAACUCUACACCAAUCAUAAUUGCUGAUAAUUCUGCAAAGAAAGAGUUGCGAUGGCCAAUCCCUUGGCAUAAACCACCAAGAAAUUGACCAUAGCAAUCCCUGAAAACUCCUCCACAAGUAGCAGGACCGGGAUUUCCUUUGGACAAAAAAUAUGUAUUAAGUCUAGUCCAAGGAACCAAGAAGAAGACCAAAGCACAUGAAGAAUUAUUGGCGCCUUACGAGGGAUAGGCUAGAUCCCCAAAGAAGAAAUGAUACAAGUGUCAAGACUAUAGGAAUAACCAGGAAUAAACUUCCCACCAAGAAUGACCCCAAAAUUGAUAGACAUGCAAAGACGACGAAAAUAGAUUGGGUGACCCUUAAAAAUAAACUUCUUUCGAGCUUUCCAAAUAGCCUAAAUAGUAGAAAAACCCGCAAAAAUCCAAAGAUUGUCCAACUGUUGGGAAAAGGGCUUACGUACGUAGGCAUGCCAAAAACAACCAAAGAAAUUGAAAAAGAUAAAGAGGUACCGAAUUGACAUGCCAACCACCUCCAAAGCUGCCUAGAUAUCCAACAAUCGAAGACAAGAUGAACAAUAGAUUCCUCGGAUUAAGACAUGAACAACAAAUGGACGCUAAAGAAAUACCACGUCAUUGAAGUGCACCUUCGGUAAGAAGUUUAUCAUGAAGAAGCUGCCAAGCCAAAAUAGACGAUCGAGGUGGGAUAAAAUGUCGCCAAAUAACCUUAGCCCAAGCACAAUCACUAUGUUUUCGUAGAAUAACAUGAUAGGCAAAAGAAAAGGAAAAUUUCCCAGUAGAUGUAGGCUCCCAAAUCAAUUUGUCAUCCUUUAGAUUUAAAGGCAAAGGUAGACAUAGAAUAUGCCGCGCUACAGAAGGGAAUAAAUUUACAAAAUAAUCUGGUAAAGGCCAACUUUGUGCUUCAAUAACUUUUGAAGCCCUAGGAAGAAUUGUAGGUGAAAUGAACGAAGAUAAUGAAGGGCCAAUAAUCAGGUUAUCCAACCAUUUGUCGAACCAAAAGGAAACUGACUUCCCAUCACUAAUAACCCAACGACUAUUAUUAUUCAAAAUAGGAAAAACAAGCUUCAACCCGUGCCACAUAGAAGAAUGUAAGUAGAUAUCUUGUUUUUUAACUCAACGUCCGUUGAAGUGCACUAAACCCUAAUGUACAUGAACAACCUAGCAUUGUUUAGGGGGCUUAGAGUUUUAUUGAAAAUUUGCAACGUGUUUGUACAAAACGCUUAUGAGGAGAUGUGUUUUCUAUAGAAGUUUUCCCAAACCAUUCCGUAAUAUCGAGUUUUGUGUAUGAGAAUUAGAACGUUUGGUCCAAUAGACCCUCAACACUGUUGUUGAGAAAGUCAACAUGCUUAGAUUAGAAUCCAAUCAACGUUGAUUUCAGCAAAUAUGUUGGAAUGAUUACCUUCUCACUUAGUGUUAAUUGUAUCAUUAGCCAGAUAUUAAUUUCAUGCUUUGUAUCAAUUGUAUUAUAGUAGGAAUCAAUUAUACAUACGGUUUCUUUCUUACCAAAAAAAAAAAUUAUACGGUUUCUUCCUGUAAAUAUUUGUGCAUGGUAACUUUAUAAAAUAUCAAUCAAAGAAAUUAAACCAUAAUAAAUUUAAUUAGUAUCUUACAGGAUGCAGAAUUUGCUAUAAGACAACAACCAUGACGAAUCAAUCAAUAUUGGAGCUACCCAAGUCAAACAAGGCAGACUACUAAAUGGUUCACUAUAUGAGUUUCCUAUCUAUAGUAUACACAGCUCAUAGUUGGCCUGGUAGCUGAGAGCUUUAGCUUGACAAAUAAUUGAGACAGAGAGAAAAAAAAAAAAAAAAAAAAAGAGAAAAGAAUGGCUAGUCUUAGCCCACCCCCUGGACCAUUUUAUGACUUCACUGUCAAGGUAAAUCCUUUCUAUCCUCAAUUACUUUAUGAUUAAUUUUCUUAAUUUGUUGCAGAUUGUUGGUUUAUUUCUUUUUGCAUAAUAUGAGCGAUAUAACUACUCUAGUCUAAAUACAUUACGGGGGGAGGGGGAGGGUUUGAACGUCGAGACGUAGUUGAUUAAAGAUGAAUGGCCUAAUCACCCGGUCAAUUCACCCGGUAAUGAACCACUUGCAAAGAUCAGUAGUUUCUUGAGUAAAGUAAUUAUGUGGUUUGAACUUCGAGAUGCAGUUUAUUAAAGAUGAACGGCCUAAUCACCAGGUCAAUCCACCCGGUAAUCUACCACUUGCGGAAGAUCAGUAGUUUCUUGAAUAAAGCGAUUAUGUUGAAUGUGUUGCAAUCAAAACAAUAAGCAUAUGGGAAUUUGGUAUUCAUUUUUGGCAUGUCUUGAGAAUUUUCCUUCGCCUGUUCGGAUGACAAGAAAAAAAAUCAUACCUGAAAGGUUAAAAGUUUAAACAAAUAUAUAUUGGGAACAGAAGAAAUGUUAAUUUGUGUUGAACCUUUGUUGGAGAUUCAGCUGAGAAAUGUGAUUUGUUUGUCUUGAUCUUGUACUUCUUUUAAUGGGGUUUUAAUUUGUGUAAGUGCAGGAUGUUAAGGGAAAUGAUGUCGAUCUUAGCCUUUACAAGGGAAAAAUUCUGCUGGUCAUCAAUGUUGCUUCCAAAUGGUAUAUGCACUACCUUGUUUUCGUCCCUAAUCAUGUUUUUUCAUUUUAUUCUUUGAUUCAUUGCUCUUUUUUCAAUGAUUUUUCCGGCAGUGGACUGACCAACUCAAAUUACGAUGAGCUGAAUGAACUGUAUCAAAAGUAUAAAGAUCAAGGUUUGCAUUUUGAACUUGUAUGGUUUUCUUACAUGUUCUUGAGCUGAUAUCUAUGUAGUUACUUCUCCUACAAGUUGAGUUCUGACUGCCCCUCUGUGAUACAUGCUAAUCUGCUGCUUGCUCGAAAACUUUCGAAUUAAUAUAUUGCAUAUGCAAUGAUCUAAUUUUUGUUAGAAAAACAUGAAUUCCCUCAAAAAUUUUGUUGAAAUUCUACCUUUUUCCAUUACUUUUCCCCUUUGUAUGAUAAAUUACGAGGUUGAUACAGGCUUUGAGAUUCUGGCAUUUCCGUGCAACCAGUUUGGUGAUCAGGAACCUGGAAGUAACAAAGAGAUUGAAGAUUUUGUCUGCACUCGGUUCAAAUCGGAGUUUCCCAUUUUUGACAAGGUAGAUCCAGAAAAGUAGAUUAUGUUGUAUGAUUGUUUCUAAUUUUCCAUUAGUUCGUAAAACAAUGAAGAGCGGAUGGUGGUUGAAGAUCUUUGUGUUUACAAGUUUAAGUUCCAACUUUCAAGGAUUUCAAAAUCGAUACAUUUAGGCUAUUGAAACUUUAAUAGCUGAAGUUUAAAAAUAAAAAAAUAAAAAUAAAAAUAAAUAAAAAUAAAAAAUAAAAAAAACCUAUCUAAUGAGUAAUGAGUGCUCAUUUUAAUUCUAUUUGAACUCUUGCAAAUUAGAACUUUCACAUGCGUUUUUCCCUACGGAUAUUUCAACUGCAUCUGAGAGCUAGGAUAGCAGGUAUUGCAAUAAUGUUAGAUCUUUCUUUCUGAAUCCGCCCUUGUUCUUGUGUUAGAUUGAAGUAAACGGAGAUAAUACUGCUCCAGUGUACAAGUUCUUGAAGGAAGGCAUGUGGGGAUUCUUUGGAGACGAUAUUCAGUGGAACUUUACCAAGUUUCUAGUUGACAAAGAAGGAGAAGCGUCUCACCGCUAUUAUCCAACCACACCCCCCCUUAGCAUCGAGGUCUGUUUCACAAAUUUAAUCAUGUUAUGCUGCCUCUGUUGUUUACUGUGAUUGAUCAUCUCGAUUCAUCUGUAGAUUUGUCAAUUUUUCUAGCCUUUGACAUACAUUUUCCACAGCGUGACAUCAAGACGCUGUUGGGAAUCGCGUAAGUAGCUCAGAUGUGAAGAUUUCAACAUAUGCUUGCCUUUUGCGUACACUGGAAUAAAAGUUAAAGCUUGCUUUGUGUAUGUAUAUUAUAUCAGAAGGCUUGUUAAAGAUGGAGGCAUGGUGCUAAUUAAUAAAACAUUAAGCAGUUGCAAUCCCUGCUUGUUUCUUAAACUUGAUUAAACCAUUUCUGUUCCUGAUGGGAUGAUGGAAAAUGUUUUAAUUGGCAGUCAGGAUUCAAUCAUCUUUCCUAAUCUGGAUAUGUUUGUUAUUUUGAUCACAGAUUGAUAUAUAGGAGAAAGACUUAGCUGGCUCUUUUUCCACGAGAUAUAUCUUUCAUGUUAGCACUCAUUGCAUGACCUCGCAUCAUGGUGAGUACUAUAAAAACUUUGAGGAUAUAUUUCUCAUUGGAGUGAGAUUUUAGUUAAGGGAUCAGCUAAGUAACCUUAUUUGAGGGACAACCUUGUAGAGCCAACUUCCCAUUGUACUUAAGGAUUCCACUGCAUAUCUUGUCUCUCUCAAAAACCAUCUCUACAAAAAUCAUCAUAACUGGAAACAAUAUAUCUGUUACCCUUGUAGAGCCAAGUUCACAUUGUUUUUCAACAAUCCAACCAUGUAUCUUGUCUUCCUCAAAGACCAUCUCUACAAAAAUAUCAUCAUAUUUGGAAACCAUAUGACUGUUAGAUUAAAUUAUAAUCCUUUUAGUGUUUUUUCGAAGCACCACAUUCAUUUAUAUUCGUCAUUAAAAUGGAUGAUGAGAUGUGAAAGCUGAAUAAUUUCAAGCUUUGUAUGAUCAGGAGGGGAAAUAAGUUCAAGCUUUGCUUUUGUGUACGUUUUACUAUAUCAUUGUGUUGCUUCAGGACUCGUUACUAUUGUAAUGUGUGGUGCUAAUUGCUAAAACAUUAUGCAAUUGCAGUACCAAGCCUGCUGUUUCACAGACUAAAUAAAACCAUUUCUAUAAUUACAUUUCUACUUGUGUGAUGAUUUACAAUGACCUUAUUGGCAGUGAGGAUUUAUGAUCUCCUCUGAUCUAGAUGUUGGUUAUUUUUAGUAUGUAUUUUGUUCUUAUUGUGAGGACUGAAGAAUUGUUUGAUGUUGAAAAGUCAAGAAAUCUUGCAGAGGCUUAUAAGGAGUUGGACCAUUGUCCAGUUAGAUUUGGAGUGACACCUUAAACACCUGUUAUUAACAAGAUAAUACUAAUAUUAGCAUCUUCACACAUGUUAACUUCCAUGUCAAUAAAGCUUUUCUUAAAAAUAAUUAUAUCAUACUUUUAAUAAUCUCAAUUACUAACAUAUUCUUUUAAUUAUCCAUGUGGCAUCACUUAACUUGUUUUGUGGAACCUACAUGGGUAUCACGUCAAUCCACUAAUAAAUUUUAAGAAAUUUUAUUUGAACUCAUCUAACAUCUUUCUACACUCAACUUACUCUCUACACCCAUAUUAUUUUUAAUUAAAGAAUUAAUAUAUUUUUAAACCCAAAUUUAUUACCUAAAGUACCCUACCAAACCCAAUUAAAAAGUAUAUUUAUCUUUACACCCAUUAUAAAAUAAAAUCUUAAAGAAACUCGAAAGUCAAAAAUCUUCUGAGUCCUUUGUCUCCCCUCCCACCUUGAGCUCUUUAGAAACAGAGCUUUUUGUUUUUCAAAAUUCUCUCUGCAAUUUUUUGCUGCAUAUUAUUUGAUUUUUUGAUAAAGUUUCAAAUUUCUACUGGAGCUGCCUACAACAUUAUAGCAUUUUCCAUGGUUGUUUUUUAUUUAUUUGUGUUUCGGUGUUUGUGUGUGUGUUUUUUGCUGCAAUUAUUUAAUUUUAUUUGAUGAAAGAAAUUCAUCUAACCUGCACUCACUAACAUGCACUAACCCAAGCAAUUUCUCAGAAGGAAAAAAAAUGUCAAUCUGAACUGCAACAAAUUUAUAAUAUGAAGUUGAAGUGAAGGGUUUCGUAUAGGAGGAUAGGUUAGCACGAAAACAACUUUUGCUUUCUGAUAUGCCAAAGCCAAACAAAUUACUAAUACUUCUACUUUCCAUAGAAAGGGUCUUAUAUAUCAAUACUUUCAUUACGACUGUUGUAGAACGUUGACGAAAAAAAAAUUGAAACCCAAAUACUCAUUUUUCUAUAGUCUAAGAAAAAUUGAAAUCAAACGAACACAAAUUUUCAUAAAUCGAGUUAUACUUUAGUUGGAGAAUUCAAAACUUUAAAAUCACCAUCCAUCGAUUUAAAAAAAAAUUAUUUUUCUCCAUAAAAGCUAUUAGGGUUUUAGUAAGAAUGAACACAGGAUAAACAAUGAGUGAUGAUAAGAUUUAAUUAUAGUGUGUGGGUUUAUUGAUAAAUUUUAUUUUUAUUUUUAAUUUCAUUUUGUAGUUGAUGGUAAUUAUGCAAUAAGGCAAAAAGGAUAAUUUACAUUUAAAAUUUAAAUUGGGUGUAGAAAGCGGUUGCAUGGGUUUAAAUAAAAUUUCUCAUAAUUUUUUUAUUGACAACGAUGGAAAGAAAACAUUGACGACCCAAAAUAAUAGAAGAGGACUAAAUUGAUGAGUUUGAAACGUAAAUGAACAAACUGAUGAGAUGGCAAAACAUGAAUGACUAUUUGUGAUAAAACCUUUUUAAAUACUAUGAACAAAUUUAAUAUAUCGAAUAUGAAGAGAGGAAAAAACCCUAAAGCAGCAUGCAACACUAAACCACGUCCACCGUUGUAAAGAAAAAGAAAGGCGGAACAGCCAUCGUUAUUUCACCUCCACUGUCAGGAAAAGGGAACCACCACCCCACUCUGAAUUUAUUUCACCUGCAUCAUAAUUUCAAGCACUAAAGAGCUGAUUUCCUAGAAAGCAUCAGUUAAAUUGGAGUUGUACGCUGGAUUGUAGCUGAUUCUGUGGCGGAGUUGAUUUCCAACAGCCUCUUCUGUUGAGCGUUAUUUCUCAUUGGCUACAUCCUCUAUGGGAAACAAGGUUUCUGGCUGCUUUACAACAAUGCCUCAAGGCAAGAUAAAUUAAGCUUAUUCUGUUCUUUUCUUCUUUAACCCUAAUUUAGUUUUGUACAAAAUAAACCCAAAAUUGCUUGCUGGAUUUUGCAAUUUUCGUUCACAUUUUUAUAUUGGCUGAAAAAGUUACAUAAUAAUUUAAUCCGGUUUUUUCACUUUUCAUCUACCUAAUCUGCCAAUUUUGCGUUUUCGCGAGGCUUUACGUUUUGUUAUUUAAAAAAAAUAAAUACAUAUUCUAAACGAAGGGAGAUUUCAAACACACUGCCAUCAACCCAAAAUAAGAAUGCGAUUUUCUAAACUACUCUUUAGUUUUUUUCUGAAAAGGUAAAGUGUGUUGCACAAUCAACCCAAAAUGAGAAUGUGAAAAGGCAAUGUUCAUGUGUUCCUUAAUUUUGCUGCUUUUGUAGCUAGCACAGGUACCUGUGGUACUUCAGAGUUGGGACCGGAUUGUAAAAUGCCAAGCCAACCCGAUGAGUACCCAGACGGAACAAUUUACGAAUACACUGUCAAGGUAAGCAAGUCCUGUCUUCAAUUAGUUUUUGCAUUUCUCCUCUCUCUAUUUAGCUGGUCAAUAUCACUUUGUUUGGACCCAAUAUCGCACCAUUGACCCCAUUCAAUCGAGGUUGUUGAAUGAAUUCACGAGUUAAUAGUAUUUUAAUAUUUUUCCUAGAUAUUACUAUUGGAUUAUCGUAGUAAUUAUCUUGUAGAAAUAUUUUAUGAGCUUGGAGAUAGGAUGAAAACGAAAACUGUUGUUCAACAAGAAGAUGGACUCAAUGAUAUUCUUGUUAAUUUUUUGGAGUCAAUACAAUGUAGAGAUGACCUUCAACUCCACACACAAAUCAAUGCUCUACGCUAACCCUCACACUUUUGAGAAAGAAAAAAAAACACUAAUUGCUUUACUGAAAGUCAGCACAAAUACCGUUUGGUUAAACAUAUUUGGGUUCACAGAUGACGGACAAUGACAAUCUAGUUAGACAGCGUUUCCAGAGGCAACCAGUGAAGGUGACAGUUUGGCUAAACAACACCAAGGUUGCAGAAUCAGUUUUAUUUUAGGAGUCUUGACGGUGUGGUUAAACAGGAGCUUUUCCUAAGUUAAACUAAUUAUCUAUCCUAAGUCUUUGCUUGUUAAGAGUCUUUGAUUCUUUCGCCUAACAAAGUGACUUCAUUAGCUUUCUCGGCGAAGUAAAAUGUUCCAUGAUUGGAUAUUUCCCAAUGACAUUCAAAGUUCAUUCAAACAGUCGAACCACUUUCACCAUAAAGACAAUCAUCUCUUUUGAGUAUCUUUGUCCCUAGAGUUUGGUACCGAUUCGACGCACUUAUAUUUUCACAAAUAUAGUUGAAGUUGCUAAACCUGGUGUAGAAGAUUGAAUUUCAUAGCAAAAAGUAUAAUUGUAUCUUCAGAUUCUAGAAUCCAAGGCCGGGAGUGUUCCUUCCGACACCUGAUUAUGAAGUCAGGAGCAUAUUCCAUCACACUCAAAAGUAUUUGCCCGGCCGAGCUCUACAGCAAAUUGGCAUGCCUGCAUCAGCAAUCAAUCACCAAAAGACGUAGUUAACUCUUAGUCACUCAGCCUGACGCCACAUCUAUUCUCAAGAGAUGGAAUGGAAAAUUUUGACUCAUGUUUUUUGAAAUGAUGUGUGACGAGUGGUAAAUUUGUCACACGAAAAAACAAUAAUGCAUGCUUUUCGAAAUGAUGGGAAAAGAAUUCUCGAGGGAAGCCAAGGGUAUGAAUUUCAGAGUGUUUACCAAACAUUGGUAUGAUAUCUCAUACUCAUUCCAAGGCUCCAAUCUGCAAACCAAACGCCAAAUGUUAAUCUCCAAAUUGUAAAACAAUAAUUUUGAAGAGAUGAGAUUAUAUUGGAUAUAUACUCCCCUUUUGGAAUGUUUGAUAAUAUUCCUCAAGUGUGGCUUGGGUGCCAAGACAAAAGCAUAAUUGAAAGGGAGAGAAAGAAACACUGACACAACAUUGGAAAAACACAAAACAUAUGGCUCGUUUCUUUGUUGGGAAUAUGAACGAAAAAUGUUGAUUUGUAUUUGAUUAAAUCCAUGCUAGAAAUUCAGUUUAGAAGUAGUAUUUUUUGUUCUUUGGUUUAUAGUUCAUCAGAUAGUUAAUAAUUUAUAUGUUUGUGCAGGACGUUAAGGGAAAGGAUGUCGAUCUCAGCAUGUACAGGGGAAAGGUUGUGAUGGUUGUUAAUGUUGCUUCCCAAUGGUAUUCCUCAUAUUCGGCUCUUCUCGCAUUUAUUUGUUCUUAAUUUAGGGAAUUAUUAUUAGCACUUUAAAAAUUUCAUUCUACACUCCUCACAAGUGUAUUUUUCUUUCUAAUUAUAGAAAGUUUGGAGUGUAAAAUGAGAUUUUUGGAGUGCCAAUAACAAUUCCCUUAAUUUAUUUCUUUUGUAAAAAGAAAAUAAAAACUCUAUGAUCAUUGUUGAUUUUCACUGAUUUUGCAGUGGAUUGACGGAGGAAAAUUACACGGAGUUGAAUCAACUAUAUCAAAAGUAUAAAGAUCAAGGUUUGCAUUCUGUACUGUUUUGCAGCUUCAGCAUAUAUUUCUACUUUUCUCUUUUAGUUCUUUUUUUGUAUGAUGUACCGGGGGUUUCGACACAGGCUUGGAGAUUCUGGCAUUUCCGUGUAACCAGUUUAAUGCUCAGGAACCAGGAAGUAAUGAUCAGAUUCAAGAGUUUGCCUGCACUCGUUUCAAAACAGCAUUCCCAAUUUUUAACAAGGUAGAUUCAGAACUGAAACACUAGAUUAUGUCACGUCUGCAUGCUUUCCAACAGCGUAAACUUACUAGAACAUUUAGGCAAGCCAGAAGAUUAUUCGACUGGAUGCCUCAUGCAUGUAUUGUCUUUGUAAAACGGCGAACUGCAUUGUAACUAUAAUUGUUCUAUAUCAGCGGUUAUUUGUAACUCCCUUAGAACUUUUGCAGGUUAAGAAUUUUAAAUGUGUUCUUGGUCGGUAUUGUAAUUAUUUCAGACAUCUGUAAAUUUACCAUUUGUGUUCUCUGUGUUAGAUUAAAGUAAACGGCCUUAAUACUGCUCCGUUGUACAAGUUCUUGAAGUUAGGCAAAUGGGGAUUCUUCGGAGACGAUAUCCAGUGGAACUUUGCUAAGUUUCUUGUCAACAAGCAAGGAAAACCUGUCGGUCGUUAUUACCCAACAACUUCCCCCCUUAGCCUUCAGGUGAAAACUUAGACAUCGAAUUCACAAAUAUAAUUAUGUUAUGCUGCUUCUGUUGUUUAUUGCAGUGAUCACCUGCAGGUUUUGUCAAGUACUCUAGUUGUGUGACAUUGUAUUAUUUUUGCAGCAUGACAUAAACAGGCUUUUGGAAGCCUCGUGAAUUAUGAAUACUGUGCGAUGCAAAGGCGUUAACCCGAGGGUGCAUGCUCCCCGCCGGUUUCACUAAUCGAACAAAACGAUAUCUGUUCUUUGUGUGAUGAUUGACAUUGGCCUAGUUGGGAGUCGGGACGUAAUCAUCUAUUCCGAACCAUUGUUGACAAUGACCUGUGACUCAAAAACUCACUAGCUUUAUCUAGUUUACUUUAAAUCUUGUAAAACACUGGUAUGUUAAUUGGUUGUUAGGAGUGUAAAGAUGCUAAUCUCGUGGACAUAAACAUUUGAAGAAAACUGCCCGUCUGGUGGCAUUCACGAAAUAAAGGUCCGAUGGAUAUGGUCACGCCACCAUCGCCUAACUCACACCUGUUUGAGCCGACGGGGGAUGAGCAUUCCAUGUGGUGUUUUUGAUUGCACUGUUGUGCUUUGGAUUCGAUGCGUUUUACGUUUUUCCAAUCAAUACAAGCAGUGUUGUCCCUAAAACACUCCCAUAAGAUCAUAGUUUCUUAGGAGUGGUAAACAUCGUAAUGGUUCCAAAUUGUUACACAAGGGACUGCACAUCAAGAUACCAGACAAAUCAAUGAGAUUAGCGGGAUGCUUGCAAGUGAUUAUCCAAGGGGCUAUAAUCACUUCUGAGGCCAUAAUCGCUUUUCCUCAGAACCGAUGGCUCUUUUCAUAAUCACUUCCAAACGAGCCCCAAAUGGCUUCAGACAAUGCUUCAUCACCUAAGUGGCGAAACACAAGUUGCUCCGAAGACAGAAAAAAUGAAAGAGAGACUCAUUCAUCCAUGCAUAUGCAGCAUACAAUUCUGCAAAUUGUCAUUUUUGAAUCGGUUACAAACUUCAAAAGGACUUUUGAUUCAAAUAGGAAGUUUCCACCUAAAAGCCAAAAGAACUUCUUGCUACUGAUGAGUAUUUUAACCUCCACACUACUUGAAACUUCCUCAACGAGUGAAUUAUGUCACCCAAAACAUCCCCCUGAGUUACGGAUUUUGUUACAGAUUAUGUUAGCACAAACUUGUUUACCCACCAGUGGGUGAACAAGGGUCGGAGAGUUGCAUCACAGAUUCAGUUCAUUUACAACAACACAUAUAUACAAAACUGGCAUGUGUCUGUUGCAGCUUAUCUUCACCCUCGAGUCAAGUCAAUACCGGUGUGGGCAUUUCUCAAAUCAACUUGCCGCGAGCCAGGCCAAAUGCCUGCUCCGGAGGGAUUAUAAUUUUGAGUUGGUGGGGCACUGCUUGGUAGACCCAAUUUCUCGCUAUGCUGUGCCUCGGAAUUCUCAUCGCUAUUGGGAUCAGCCAGUUGCUUGUUCUUGGUCUUGGAGCCACCAUAUACGAAACUGCAAAGCACAACCUGCAACAACACAUGAAUCAGAUCUCUCAAUAGGUCUCCACAUUCCUUCACUACAAUUAGAACUGAUAAAAAGUGCUUUUAAGAUCGUCCAUCGUCCAAUGCUAGACAAAUAUCACGUCACAACAUGUGCAUGUGCAGACAACCAGCAGGAAAUAGGCAUUAGCAUUGAGCCUAGAAACGUUGAACAAAUUAUUGAGCAGUAAACAAAAUACCUGCACUGGAGUUGCUGCAAUCAGCACUGCCACAGCACCACCAAUGACAUGACCAUUAGGAUUAGAAAGGGAAACGCUUAUUCCCCCUGUUCGAUUGCGAGGUCCACCAACCUCCAACUACUGCUUGAGUCGAUAUUCAUCCAAUGCUGAGUUUAUCACGUCAAUUACUUGUUAUCAGCUGAUAUAUGUUAGACAACCAGUUUACCCAUUAGGGUGCCAGGAAACGUUGCAAUUAUUGAGCAGUAAGACAAAAUCCCUUGUUCUGGUCUGUUGCUUUUCAUCACACUGCCAACUAGUCAAGACCAAUGACCAAUUGUUAGGAUUCUCAAAAACUUGUAGCCUAAGUUCCAAAUGAUUGCUGGAGGUCCACCAAUCCUCUUAUCAAGAAUGACAAAUUUGAUUGGUGGGGCACUGCUUGGUAUGACCCUUGAAUUUUUCGCGAUGAGCUCCAGGCCUUGGGAAUUUUUGGCUAUUAUCUGCUUUAUUUUUGGAUCCAGAAAAACCCCAACCUGCUUGAUUUUCUUUGGUCCCAUUGAAUGAGAUACCAGUGCCCCUAAUUACGAAGCAUGCAAUGAGCACUUAACUGCUGAUAAUCAACAAUAGAAUAAACAGGAUCUCAAUUUCGAUAAUAGGUCAUCCCACAUCUCCUUCACUACAAUUAGAACCUGAUAAAAGUGCUUUUUUCUGAUCAAGACCAAUUGUCCAAUGGCUAAGACCAGAACUCAACAUGUAAUACCACGAACUUACGUGAACAUGUAUAACCAUGUGCAUGUGAGAGAACUUAACAUAGCCAGCAGGAAAUAAAGGCAAUAUUAGCAUUGAUCUGCUCCCAACCAAACGUUGAGUCUGCUCCAUAACUUUGAGACAACUCUCAAUUACAGAAAAUGAGAUGUGUUAUACAUAUAACCAACCACAAACUUGCACAAUGAGCCUGGACAGCUCUUCGCAAUCAUAAACGUUACAACACAUCACUAACUGAACUAAUUUGCAACUUUGGUAUUGGCAAGAAAUGUUUUUAUAAAAUGAAAAAACAUGAAGCAUAUCCCACUCUUGUAAUUAUCCGUAAUUUAGAUAUAGUCCAACAUAAAAGGAAAAGCAUCUAAAUUGGAAUUCUUUCUUAGGCACAAUAACGAGCAAAAUUAGAGAUAAAAUUGAGUUAACCUCAUAUGUGACACUGACACCAGUAGAUGCAGGCUCGCGUAGAGUUACUGAAGACACUGCACCAUUUCCUGACAAGAUGCAUAGCGCCCUUGGUCUCUGUUGUGCAAACAACAAUAAUUUUGCAGCAAUGUCCUAUAGAAAAACAAUAAGGAAAAAAUUUUUAACAGGGGCAGGAGCUCAUGUGCAUUUAAGCAAUAAAUCAACACAUAAUUAUCAUCCAAAAGCAAGUAAUCUGGUUGCAUUAACCAACUCACCUAUAAAACCAGACCUAAGAGAAUGCUUUCUUUUGGUAACGUGUAACAUUUUUAUGUUAUUCUCAACUCUAGAAUAUAAAUGAGCCAUUCCAUUAACCUGAAUAUGUUGACACUGUACAUGUUACUAAGGAAAACUCCUAAUGCUUUAACAAAAUACAGGUUACUAAAGACCCUAACAGAUUAUGAUCCAGAAACAAUCACUGCAUUCCAAUUUAUCUGAAGCCAACUAUAAACAAGGGCGCUUGGUAUAGCAGUGCAGCAUCCUUUUUUCUGCAGGCAAAUUAAAAAAAGGGUUUUUGAACUGCUUUAAAAAAAGCUAAAAAAAACCAUGCUUAAAAUGACAUGCAAAUAAUGACAAAACAAAUUUUCACAAAAGGGAUGUUGCAACACACUGGAAAUAUCAGGACAGGCUAAAGCAACUCCAUUGUAGAUGAAAGAUGUAUAUACAGCAAAUACACAAGUGCAAUACAAGACAUUUACUAACUGAAUUAAUUCAGCUUUAACAUAAAAACAGCAUACAACAGCAUAAUUAGCAUAGAAUCUCUCAGGCUCCAAUAUGCCACUGGGAAGACACUGCUACAGGAGUAUAAACCCUAGAUUUGAAUAACAGUUGCCAUUUUAAGCUACCCCAGCCAAAACAAGAAAAUCCAGACAUAAUGACCAAUAAGAAUCUUUAAGCAUAAGAACCAUUGAAUCAAUGAUCAUAAUUCUAUAGGAACUAACUGGUCUAGGGAGAAUAAGCAUCAUCAUAACCAAAGUAUGCAAGACAAUAACUAUAAAUAACGAAGAUCAUCACAACUGAAUAACCAACAAAGGUUCUCUGAACUAUACAUGUUUCAUCUCUGUUGGCUUAGUGAGCGGUACCAAGAAUUAAUAUUAGAACCACCUCAUACAAAUAAGCAAGAUACUUAAUGAACUGCGCUUUAACUGUAGAACAAACUGUAGAAGCUAAGCACAAAGUGCACUGAUAUUACCACAUUGAGAGAGAGUUAAAACUAGCCACUAAGAGUAACACAAAAGAUGUACCAAAUUGUUGUUGUGUCCAGUAGCCAAGCCCAGAGCCUGCCCAUCAACUACGUUUCGGGGUUCCGGGUGCCUGCUAAGUAGGUCUUAGACCUGGGAGACAAGGCCCAGGGGAGCCACAUGGAGACCCGCCUCCCUCUUUUAUGAGAGGCACGAAGUCACCCAGAGCCGUUCCUGCCACUCCUGUCUGAAGGCUCUACUGAGAAGUUCCCCAGAGCCAGGUCCCAGAAUCUCUGCCAUGAGUCCCUUCAACCACACUAGCAUGCACACGCGCCCUCAACCCUAGAUAGUAUGGCUGACCCACCAGACAAUCCAUUGCACAUACUAAGAGUGUCAAAAAAACCACUUUUUUGUCACCUAAAGAUUGCUUCUACAAACCCUCUUGGUCAAUUCUUCAGAAAAAGGAAAAUUCGAACAAAAUGGGGGAAAAAGUUAAAACAUUAUUUUCAAAAACCAAAAAAACGAGGGAAUAUGUAAAGGCCCUUUUUGGUUAUUGGAAAUCAUACCCACGAAACAAGUAACCAAGUGACUGCAGAGCUUGAACAGUACGACCCCUACAGACCCAUCACAGAAAAUGCCCAGCAAAUACCAAAAUGUAGAAAAUCAGGAGCUCAGGGAGCUACAGAGAAGCAAGAAUAACAACCUGGCAGCUCUUGAGCCACUGCCUCAGACACGGCAACAGAACAAAACCCUAGAUUUCAAAUCUAGGGUUUUGACAGGAAAAUGCAGGAGGUGGAAAAGGGGGAAAAAGGAGGGAGGAAAAGACAAAGGGAAGACGGGAAGGGGGGGUUGGGGUGGAAAAAAUGAAUUGAAAAUUUGAGGUUUUGAAUUAAAGUUGUGAGUGUGUGUGUGAGAGUGAGAGAGAGAGAAAGUGUGUGUGUGUGUGUGUGAACUGUGAACUACUAAUUGAGAGAGAGACAGAGAGAGAGAGAUAGAACUUUUUCCUUUUUCUUUAGUCUGAUCUGAUGAGGCCUGAGGGGAGUUGUGGUAUGGUGUGGUGUGGUGUAAGUAUCUCUGACUAUUAGAUAGGAAAGGCCUAAUGCUAUUGGACAGACAUUGUGGAGUACCAACCAGGAUGUCCUCAUCAGAUUGCCCUUGCUUGGGGCACAGAGCCCUCCAGGACCCCCAGUCCCCACAUUCCUCUCCACUCUCCCUCUCUCACUUCUCUCUCUCGUUUCUCUCUUUAAUGACCCCUUUGGUGUUGGCAUCUUUUGCUGGGUUAGGUUCAACGGAUUGUUUAUCUCAUGUAAACAGUGCUAGGAGACGAAAGAAAAGUAAUACUUUAGUUAUUGGAAUGGGUUAGAAAUUGGUCAUGGGCCGGUCUCAAAUGGGAGACAGAUUGUUAUAGAAUGUGAGUUUAUUUCUUUUUCCGAGCCACUAAUACAAGAUCGUCAUGAUUUUUUCAAACUACUACUACGAGAUCGUAUGUGGAGAGUUUAAAAUAUAGUAUUGUCGUAUAGAUUUAAUGGCAUUGUUUAAGUGAUUUAAGACGUCACAAUGACAAUAAAUCUAUUAAGUAUAAAUGUAGGGAAAAGAUGUUUUCCUUCAAUGUUAUUGGCGUAACAAUAUCGAGACAAAUGGAGCAAUAGCAAAGUCAUAUGGAUUAUAAACAAAUUAAUUAGUAAUUAGCGUGGUCAAUAAAGUGUUCAUUGUUAAGUUACUGGUCUAAAACUAAAAUAUAAGAACAUGUUUUCAAACUUGACUAUACAAGUGGGAGUAAAAGUCAUGACCCACAUGACACCCACCUUUGUUUUGGUAUUUUAUACCCGAAUUUACACUCUCUUGUCUAAUUGAAUCUAGCAGUCCAAAUAAAGGUGAAAAUGAUAUUAUGUUAAAUUACACCCAUGAUUUAAGUGAUUCGAAACUUUUUUUGGUCCAAAUGAAGAUGAUGGAAUGGACCCAAUCAAGGCUAGCCAAUGUAAACUAUCACCAAUUAGGAAGAUUUGAGUUGAUUGAUGUGAUCACGAGACAAGGUAUAUGGACUUAACUGAAACCUGUAAAUACAAGCUUCAAGGAAAAGAAAAUGAUCCCCAAUCAAACACACAAACUUAUCAUUUUAUUCUCCUCAAUUCCUCUCUAGGAGCAGCGCAAUGUAAUCCCUAGUCUAUCGCUUUUCAAUUUCCUUUCAAUACAAGUUUUUAAUGUACUUUAUGUUAUUAAUUAGUUUAUUUUGUGCAAGUUAAAUGCAGUUUUCUUUUUAAUUUUUAAUUUUUUACACACUUUACUUUCCGUCUUGCUUUUGCAAUUUCAUUUAAUUUCAAAGCACUUUUAUUUUUACCCACUCACUCUUCAUUUAAUUUACUUUCUCACAAGUAGAUUAAUUUUAAUUUCAUUUAUUCUAAAUUCUUUUUACUUUUUCGCUCAAUCCUUACCUUCACCAUUUAUCAUUAUUUUGGUUGUUGCUUCAAAGCCUUGUCUUUGAGGUAAAAAACCGUUCAAUCGUUUGAUUAGAAGUCAAAUCUAAGGUGCAAACGCAAUUCACGCUCACAUUUUUUCUACAUCGGUCAAUUUAGUUCACAUGGUGACACACACUCACGCAUCAAAACAAAGAAAGACUAAAUCCUAAAAAUAAAAAGGGAAAAAGUUUUGGCAUGCCCAGUGGCAUACUGUCUAUGAGCAACCAAUAUGGAUUGUAAUAUUCAUAUCGGUGGAUAAACUACGGUGAGUAUGGGUUUAGUAGCCAAUACAUACGAAAUGAACAAUAUGGCUUUAGUGGCCAAAAUGACUAAGGCAACCAAUAUGCCUCUGUUUAGGCCGAAAAAUAUUGGUUUGGGCCGAGCACUAAGUUGUUCUCGACCCAGAGACCGUACUUAGGAGUCAUUGGGGGUCAUCCAGUUUAUGGGCCACAUAGCCAAGGCCGGCCGUGUCCUAUUAGGAAUCCAUGGGUAGUUGAAUCCUGAUA
Molecule: long non-coding RNA, 31018 nt
Filed under: Malus domestica (apple)
Lineage: Eukaryota; Viridiplantae; Streptophyta; Magnoliopsida; Rosales; Rosaceae
Description: long non-coding RNA (MDOM_LNC013954)
Source: RNAcentral